UUUUUUGAGGAAGCUACUUCCACAGUAAUCUGGGCUACCAACAUCAAAUUCACCAAGGUCUUCAGUGGCAUCAAGAGUGUUCAUUAUUUUGUAACACUUAUCCAACCUCGCACUCCCACCAGUUUUGCGGAAUUGCUUCUUGUCCUUACCACCUUUUGAGUUGCCCUUCUGGCUCUUCUUUCCAUUUUUCUUGUUGCUACCUUUAUCUUUCCUAGACUUCUUCUGAUUGCUUUUAACAGUGUGUGAUAAUGAAUUAGGAAUCGGAUCAUACACAUCAGGUGCCCAACUCACAGUCAGCUUCCUUGGGGAUGCUCCCAGUUUUUCUCUACUACCUUUCAUGGCAGACACAAGAGGCAAUGCAGGCCUCGUGGGUUCCUCGGAGAAAAGUAGUGGCAACGCUGUUUCAGGCUCAUCAUCUUCUUCAGAUAGCAAUUUUGCACUCUUUUCUAAAGCCUCCCUAACAGGUGCUCGCCCAUGUGGCUCAAGCUCUCCCAGUCUCUCCUCUGCAUCAACGGCACCAUCUACAUCAGAUGCACAUGUUUCUUGUACAUCUUCUACAUGCACAAACUCGCGAAAAUUGCUUUCAAUUUCAUCUACCAGAACACCAACACCAACCGCACUUCGACUGGAGACAAUGUCCAUCAAUAACACCGCCAAACAAGAAAUAGAUGAACUCUUAUGAUGUCCCUUAAUAGCUCUUAUCAAGUCCAACCAAAUCGUCCAAACGCUAUCUCUAUCUCCGAUUUCUCAAAACCGAUAUAUGCUAAUCGUAGAAACUCAGAAAGCCAAAACCCAAAAAGGAACGAACAGAGAGAGAGAGAGAGAGAGAGAGAG
Molecule: unclassified non-coding RNA, 834 nt
Filed under: Hevea brasiliensis (rubber tree)
Lineage: Eukaryota; Viridiplantae; Streptophyta; Magnoliopsida; Malpighiales; Euphorbiaceae
Source: RNAcentral